UACGUAGGGUGCAAGCGUUAAUCGGAAUUACUGGGCGUAAAGCGCGCGUAGGCGGCUUUUCAAGUCGGAUGUGAAAUCCCCGGGCUUAACCUGGGAACUGCAUUCGAGACUGUCUAGCUAGAGUAUGGGAGAGGGAAGUGGAAUUUCAGGUGUAGCGGUGAAAUGCGUAGAUAUCUGAAGGAACAUCAGUGGCGAAAGCGACUUCCUGGACCAAUACUGACGCUCAUGUGCGAAAGCGUGGGGAGCAAACAGG
Molecule: ribosomal RNA, 253 nt
Filed under: uncultured bacterium
Lineage: Bacteria
Description: partial 16S ribosomal RNA
Rfam family: Bacterial small subunit ribosomal RNA
Source: RNAcentral